Long non-coding RNA from Hypanus sabinus (Atlantic stingray), 10731 nucleotides. RefSeq lists it as uncharacterized. The transcript is spliced from 3 exons. NCBI's taxonomy places the organism in Eukaryota, Metazoa, Chordata, Chondrichthyes, Myliobatiformes, Dasyatidae. The record is from RefSeq and is a predicted model, not a curated record.
CGACGGAUGAGAAUGAUGAAGCUAUUCCGACGGCAGCUGACUCUUGAACUCCUGCAACUGAGAAGAUGUUUUGGAUAGUGAAGAUAUGUAAAGACAUAUCUUCUUCAAGGGAUAAGGAGAGUGAAUUUCACAGGGGACUCUGCUGGUUGCCUUCAGCACAGAAGGGUAUGCACCUCACUGAAGAAGCAAGGCUCCAGGAACAGGGAAGCAGAAGCUGUCAAGGCCCAGACCAAGUAAAAUUACUGAAUCACAAGUCAAUCCUGGAUACAGAGUGGUGAUUGCAAAUUAAAGGUAGUGACCAAGCAAAACCUAUAUGAGAGAGCUGUAAAAUGAAAUGUGACACCAAGAUAGGUGACAGAUGAUGAAAAGCUUGAUCAAACCCCUAGGAUGAGGAGGUGCUGUCAGGUGUGGGCAAGUAUUUGUCAUCUUGAUGGCAUUCGUGUCUGUGAGGGAGCGAUUAGACCAUGAGACAUAAGAACAGAAUUAGCCGAAUCAGUCCAUUGAAUUUGCUCCGCUAUUUUAUCACGGCUGAUUUAUUGUCCCUCUCAACUCCAUUCUCCUGCCUUCUCCCCAUAACCUUUGAACAUUUACUAAUGAAGAACUUAUCAACUUCCACUUCAAAUACACCCAAUGAUUUGGUUUCCACAGCCAUCGUUGGCAAUGAAUUCCACAGUUGCCCCAUUCUGUGCCAAGAGAAACUCCUCUCAUCUCUGUACUGAAGUGUUUUCUGAGGCUGCGCCCUCCUGUCCUAGACUCUCCCACUAUCGGAAACAUCCUCUCCACAUCCACUCUAUCUAGGCCUUCCAAAAUUCAAUAGCUUGGAAUGAGAUUCUCACCCUGCCAUUCUACUAAACUGCAGUGAGUACAGGCCCAGACACACCAGCUUACAAUUAACCCUUUCAUUGCCGGGACCAUUCUCCUGAAGCUCGUCUGGACCCAGUAAACACUUUUGUAGAUGAGCGGCUCAAGACUGCUCACAAUACUCCAAAUGCAGCCUGACCAAUGCCUUAUAAAGCCUCAGCAUUGCUUUCUUGUUUUUAUAUUCUACACCUCUUGAAAUGAAUGCUUGCGUCGAACUGAAUUGACUUUGUUUCUUACAUCCUUCACGUACAUAAGGAGUAAAACUCUUUGCAUCUCUGUCCAAAUGUGCAAUCAUAGUAAUUUAUAAUAAUAAAUAGAACAAUCAACGUAAUACAGAGUACACUGAAAUCAGCGUGAGUUCAUCAGUCUGAUGGCCUGGUGGAAAAAGCUGUCCUGGAGCCUGUUGGUCCUGACUUUUAUGCUGCAGUACUGCUUCCUGGAUGGUAGCAGCUGGAAUAGUUUGUGGUUGGGGUGACUCGGGUCCCCAAUGACCCUGCGGGCCCUUUAUACGCACUUGGCUUUGUACAUGUCCUGAAUCAUGGGAAGUUCACAACUACAGAUGUGCUGCGCUGUCCUCACCACUCUCUGCAGAGUGCUGCGAUUGAGGGAGGUACAGUUCCCGUACCAGGCAGUGAUGCGGCCAGUCAGGAAGCUCUCAGUUUUGCCACUGUAGAAAGAUCUUAGGAUUUCGGGGCUUAUACCAAACUUCCUCAUCUGUCUGAGAUGAAAGAGGUGCUGUUGUGCCUUUUUUACCACACAGCUAGUGUGUACAUUAUAUUUGCCUUCCUCAUGACUGACUCACCAGUCAGUGGACCUGCAGCGUCUCCAAAGUCCCUUUGCAACUCUGAUUUCUGAACUUUCUCCCCAUUUAGAAAAUAGUCGAUGCCUUUAUUGCUUCUACCAAAGUGCAUGACCAUGGAUUUGAGCUGGGGAUGGAAAGAGGAAUCCUGAGAAACUGGAAAAGCUGCUUGAACUGGGGAAGGAUGCAGGCAGGAUUUAAAAAAAACUCCUCCUGGGUCAAAGCACAUCAAGCGGACGUACAAAUAUUUUUAAUAAUGGUGAGGUGUGCCAUCCCAUGUUCUGCCCUUCAACCCUUUGUGAAUGUCGCUUUAUUUUUAAACCCCUUUCACAUCUCUUGUCACUUUAUACAAUUUAAUUGAAACAUUCCCUCAGCCUCCUUUGUUCCAAAGUGAUCAUAGUUGAAAGUGAAGUCAUUACCAAAGUACAAAGUCACCGUGUACAACCCAGAGAUUCACUUUCUUGCAGGCAUACACAGUAAAUCCAAGAGACACAAUAGAAUCAAUGAAAGAGCACAGCCAAGAGCAGAGACAAACAACCCACGUGCAAAGGAUAACAAGCUGUGCAAAUAAAAAGUAAAUAAAUAUACAAUAAAUAUCAAGAACAUGAGAUGAAGAUUCCUUGAAAACGAGUCCUGAGAUUGUGGGAACAGUUCAGAGAUGGGUGUGAGCUGCACCAAUGUAGCCAGAUGUCCAACAUGCUGGAGGAACUCAGCAGGUCGGACAGCAUCCGUGGAAACGAGCAGUCAACGUUUCGGGCCGAGAGCCUUUGUCCUGACGUUCCUCCAGCGGGUUGUAUGUGUUGCUUUGACCACAGCAUCUGCAGUGUACUUUAUGUUUACCAGUGCAGCCAGACUUGCUUCAUGACUAAAGUUUAAUGCUGACAAACUCUUUGUCAACGAUCAGCCACUGAGUUCCCCAGCUCAGAGGGUUCAGAGGUCAGAGGUCCAUGCAGGGAGCAGGCAUGAUAGGUGGUGACCCCCCCCCCCCCACCCCACCCCCAAAACACCAGAUAUGUGAGUCGUCCAGUCUGGAGUUCAGGCACUUGUCUUCAGUGAGUCCUUGGAUCAAUACUUCUAAAACUUUGACCAACUUCUAUAGAUGUAUAGUGGAGAAUAUAUUGAGUAGUUGCCACAUGGCCUGGUAUGGAAACACCAAUACGCUUGAAUGGAAAAGCCUACAAAAAAUAGUGGAUAUGACCCAGUCCUUCACUGGGAAAGUCCUUCCCACCAUUGAGCACAUCUACGUGGAGCGUUGUCACGGGAAAGCAGCAUCCACCAUCUGAAGCCCCAACCAUCUCUUCUUAUUGCUGCCAUCAGGAGAAAGGUACAGGAGCCUCUGGCCCCACGCCAUCAGAUUCAGGAACAGUUAUUACCCCUCAACCAUCAGGCUCCUGAACCAGAAGGGAAGCUUCACUCAACUGCACUCAUCCCAUCACUGAACUGUUCCCACAGCCUGGACUCACCUUCAAUAAUUCUUCAUCUCAUGAUUCUCGUUCUCAAUAUUUAUUGCUUAUUUAUUUAUUUUUCUCUUUUGUACUUGCACAGAUUGUUAUCUUUUGUACGUGGGUUGUUUGUGCGUCCUGUUGUGUGCAGUCUUUCAUUUAUUCCAUUCUGUUCUCUGGAUUUAUUGUGAAUGCCCACAAGAAAACAAAUCUGGGUGUUGUUUAUGGUGAAUUACAUGUACUUUGAAUGCUUCGAUGUACAUGAGAUAAUGAAACUGAGCUUUUACAGUCAUGCGUGUGUGUUAAAGAAUGAAAGGGUAUGCCGAGGAAACCUAUCAGGUUCAGACAGGACUGCACAGAGAGAAUUUUCCCACUGGAGUAUCUGGAAUCAGAAGUCACAGCCUUGGGAUACUGGGACGGUCAUUAAAAAAGAGCACAAUACGCCGCAGGAACAGGAUAUUGAUAUAAUUUGCGGGCGUCAGCAAGCCGCUAUCAAUGUGCAGGAGACUCCCAGAAUUUCCGGGAGCAGUGGGAUGUCUGCAGCUGUGCACUAACAUCACCUUCUCCUCAUGGCUAUGUGGGCUGCACUGUUGCAUCGACAACACCAACAGUGUAAAGGGAUGAAGAAAUCACUGUCAAACACUAUGCCUCAUUGUAAGAUUCGGAGCAAGAAGGCUGAGAGUGGAAUGGCUAAGGAUUUCCAGAGCGAAGGCAUUUUACUACUCAGGGUAAAAGAGAGGCAAGUGUGCGCAGGCGCGUGACGUCAGCCAGUAGAGCGGGAAAAGUUUGAAAAGAAGACUGUCAUAUCCAGUGGGCAGCAGAGUGAUAAGGCUUUGGCUCAACAGGCUUAGGCUGUAAUGAGGCGAGGUAGGUUUACCUGUGUUAAUCGUAUGUGUGUGAGACCGGUUUUCUGUGCUCGGUGUCAGAUGUGGGAAGUCCUGGAGUCUCCCAGAUGGCCAUAUCUGCGCCCAGUAUGUCAAUCUGCAGCUCCUAAGGGACUGCGUUAGGGAACUGGAGUUGCAGCUCACUGACCUUCGUCUGGUCAGGGAGAGCGAGGAGGUGAUAGAAAGGAGUUACAGGCAGGUGGUAACAACGGGACCACGGGAGACAGACAACUGGGUAACAGUCAGGAGGGGGAAGGGGUAGAGUCAGGUACUAGAGAGUAUCCCUGUGGCUGUCCCCCUGAACAAUAAGUACUCCUGUUUAAGUACUGUUUGGGGGGGUGGGGAGAGACAGCCUACCUGGGGGGAGCAACAGUGGCCGUGCCUCUGGCCCUGUGGCUCAGAAGGGUAGGGAAAGGAAGAGGAAGGCAGCAGUGAUAGGGGACUCUAUAGUGAGGGGUCAGACAGGUGAUUCUGAGGAUGCAGGAAAGAAACUUGGAUGGUAGUUUGCCUCCCAGGUGCCAGGGUCCGGGAUGUUUCAGAACACAUCCAAGAUAUCCUGCAGUGGGAGGGAGAACAGCCAGAGGUCGUGGUACAUAUUAGUAUCAAUGACAUAGGUAGGAAAAGGAAAGAGGUCCUGAAAAAAGGCUACAGUGAAUUAGGAAGGAAGUUGAGAAGCAGGACCGCAAAGAUAGUAAUCUCGGGAUAACAGUGGGUAUAGGAAUAGAAUGAGGUGGAGGAUAAAUGCGUGGCUGAGAGAUUGGAGCAGGGGGCAGAGAUUCAGAUUUCUGGAUCAUUGGGACCUCUUUUGGGGCAGGUGUGACCUGUUCAAAAAGGACGGGUUGCACUUGAAUCCCAGGGGGACCAAUAUCCUGGUGGGGAGGUUUGCUAAGGCUACAGGGGAGAGUUUAAAAUGAGAAUUGUUGGGUGGUGGUAACCGAACAGAAGAGACUGGGGAAGAGGCAGUUGGCUCACAAAUAGAGAAAGCUUGUGGACAGGGUGAGAGGGAGGAUAAGCAGGUGAUCGAGAAGGAGCACACCCAGACCAAAGGCUUGAGAUGUGUCUAUUUAAACGCAAGGAGUUUUGUGAACAAAGCGGGUGAGCUUAUAGCGUGGAUCAGUACUUGAAGCAAUGAUGUGGUGGCCAUUACAGAGACUUGGAUGGCUCAGGGAUAGGAAUGGUUACUUCAAGUGCUGGGUUUUAGAUUUUUCAGAAAAGAUGGAGGGAGGCAAAAGGGGUGGGGUGUGGCACUGGUGAUCAGAGAUAGUGUCGCGGCUGCAGAAAAGGUGGACGUCAUGGAGGGAUCAUUUACGGUGUCUCUGUGGUUGGAGGUUAGGAACAAGAAGGGGUCAAUAAUUUUACUGGGUGUUUUUUAUAGGCUGCUCAAUAAUAACAGGGAUAUCGAAGAGCAGAUAGGGAAACAGAUCCUGGAAAGGUAUAAUAAUAACAGAGUUGUCGUGAUGGGAGAUUUUAAUUUCCCAAACAUCGAUUGGCAUCUCUCUAGAGCAAGGGGUUUAGAUGGGGUGGAGUUUGUUAGGUGUGUUCAGGAAGGAUUUGGACACAAUAUGUAGAUAAGCCUACAAGAGGAGAGGCUGUACUUGAUUUGGUAUUGGGAAAUGAACCUGGACAGGUGUCAGAUCUCUCAGUGGGAGAGCAUUUUGAUCAUAAUUCUAUCUCCUUUACAAUAGCAUUGGAGAGAGAGAGGAGCAGACAAGUUAGAAAAGCGUUUAAUUGGAGUAAGGGGAAUUAUGAGGCUAUCAGGCAGGAAAUUGGAAGCUUAAACUGGGAACAGAUGUUCUCAGGGAAAAGUACAGAAGAAAUGUGGCAAAUGUUCAGGGGAUCUUUGUGUGGAGCUCUGCACAGAUAUGUUCCAAUGAGACAGGGAAGUUAUGGUAGGGUACAGAAACCAUGGUGUACAAAGGCUAUAAUAAGUCUAGUCAAGAAGAAAAGAAAAGCUUACAAAAGGUUCAGAGAGCUAGGUAAUGUUAGAGAUCUAGAAGAUUAUAAGGCUACCAGGAAGGAGCUUAAGAAGGAAAUUAGGAGAGCCAGAAGGGGCCAUGAGAAGGCCUUGGUGAGCAGGAUUAAGGAAAACCCCAAGACAUUCUACAAGUAUGUGAAGAGCAAGCAGAUAAGACGUGAAAGAAUAGGACCUAUCAAGUGUGACAGUGGGAAAGUGUGUAUGGAACUGGAGGAAAUAGAGGUACUUAAUGAAUACUUCAGUAUUCACUAUGGAGAAGGAACUUGGUGAUUGUAGUGAUGACUUGCAGCAGACUGAAAAGCUUGAGCAUGUAGAUAUUAAGAAAGAGGAAGUGCUGGAGCUUUUGGAAAGCAUCAAGUUGGAUAAGUCACUGGGACCAGAUGAGAUGUACCCCAAGCUACUGUGGGAGGUGAGGGAGGAGAUUGCUGAGCCUUUGGCAAUGAGUUUUGAGUCAUUAAUGGGGACGGGUGAGGUUCCGGAGGAUUGGAGGGUUGCAGAUGUUGUUCCUUUAUUCAAAAAAGGGAGUAGAGAUAGCCCAGGAAAUUAUAGACCAGUGAGUCUUACUUCAGUGGUUGGUAAGUUAAUGGAGAAGAUCCUGAGAGGCAGGAUACAAGAACAUUUGGAGAGGUAUAAUAUGAUAAAGAGUAGUCAGCUUGGCUUUUCAAGGGCAGGUUGUGUCUUAAGAGCCUGAUUGAAUUUUUUGAGGAUGUGACUAAACACAUUGAUGUAGUUUAUAUGGAUUUCAGCAAGGCAUUUGAUAAGGUUCCCCAUGCAAGGCUUAUUGAGAAAGUUAUGAGGUAUGGGAUCCAAGGAGACAUUGCUUUGUGGACACUGGCUUGCCCACAGAAGGCAAAGAGUGGAUGUAGACAGAUCAUAUUCUGCAUGGAGGUCAGUCACCAGUGGAGUGCCUCAGGGAUCUGUUCUGGGGCCCUAAUUCUUUGAUUUUUAUAAAUGACCUGGAUGAGGAAGUGGAGGGAUGGGUUAGUAGAUUUGCUGAUGACACAAAUGUUGGGGGCGUUGUGGAUAGUGUGGAGGGCUGUCAGAGGUUACAGCGGGUUAUUGAUGGGAUGUAAAACUAGGCUGAGAAGUGGCAGAUGGAGUUCAACCCAGUUAAGUGUGAAGUGGUUCAUUUUGGAAGGUCAAAUAUGAUGGCAGAAUAUAGUAUUAAUGGUAAGACUCUUGGCUGUGUGGAGGAUCAGAGGGAUCUUGGAGUCCAAGUCCAUAGGACGCUCAAAGCAGCUGUGCAGGUUGACUCUGUGGUUAAGAAGGCAUACGGUGUAUUGGCCUUCAUCAAUCAUGGAAUUGAAUUUAGGAGCCGAGAGGUAAUGUUGCAUCUAUAUAGGACCCUGGUCAGACGCCACUUGGUGAACUGCGCUCAGUUCUGGCUGCCUCACUACAGGAAGGAUUUGGAAGCCAUAGAAAUGGUGCAGAAGAGAUUUAGAAGGAUGUUGCCUAGAUUGGGGAGCAUGCCUUAUGAAAACAGGUUGAGCGAACUCAGCCUUUUCUCCUUGGAGCGACGGAUGAUGCAUUGAUCAUGCGGAUAGUCAGAGGCUUUUUCACAGGUCUGAAAUGGUUGCCACAAGAGGACAUAAUUUUAAGGUGCUGGGUAGUAGGUACAGAGGAGAUGUCAGGGGUAAGUUUUUUUAUGUAGAGAGUGGCGAGUGUGUGGAAUGGGCUGCCAGCAACAGUGGUGGAGGUGAAUAUGACAGGGUCUUCUAAGAGGCUUUUGGAUAGAUACAUGUUGCUUAGAAAAAUAGAGGGCUAUGGGUAAGCCUAGUAAUUUCUAAGGUAGUGACAUGUUUGGCACAACUUUGUGGGCGAAGGCCCUGUAUUGUGCUGUAGGUUUUCUGUUUCUACGUAAAAUGGGUUUGCCUUGCCAACGAGUUAGAGGAUGUGGGUUUUGAAAGAAUCUACAGUUAUGAAGCAGUAGGAACAUAUGGAAUUUUAACUUCCCUAAUAUUGACUUGGCCCACCCAUAGAGCAAAGGGUUUAAACAGGAUGGAGUUUGUUAAGUGUGUCCAAAACAGAUUCUUACCACCAGGCAAAUGCCAGCCAGCUUCUUCCCUGCUGUUGUAAGACUAUUAAAUGCUUUGCUAGUACAAGACCAUUGGUUAUAUAGGAUCAGAAUUAGGCCAUUUGAUCCAUCAAGACUGCUCUGCCAUAUCAUCAUGGCUGAUCCAUUUCCCUCUCAGCCCCAAUCUCCUGCCUUUUCCCCGAAUCCCUUCAUAUCCUGACCAAUCAAGAAUCUAUCAACCUCUGUCUUAAACAUACAUAAAGACUUGGCUUCCACAGCGGCCUGUAGCAAAGAAUUCUACAAAUUCAUCAUCUUCUGAGUAAAGAUAUUCCUCCUUAUCUAUUUGCCAAUAUAUUUUUAGGCUGUGUCCCCUGUAACUGUGAGAGGGGAGAGAGCUCCCUGUGACUGUGAGGGUUUCCCCUAGAUAGUGUUUCCUUCGAAUCCCAGCCGUGUGUGGCAUGGCCCAGGCCCAAGAGUAAAAACGAAAUGAUGUUCAGCUUACUGAAGGGCCAACUCAGAUUUAAAAAAUUAAGGUGUCAAAGCUGAUGGUGGACGACAUACCCACCACAGCCCAUCCGUCUGCCUCUCCUCUCACUACUCCCGUUGGGUGCAAGGUGCAGGAGUUCUGACCAGCUGCGCUCGCAUCAGCGCUGAAUUGGCUUCGUGGCCGUGGACUCGCUUGCGACGUUUACGAUUGAGUGCAUUUACGUGGAGCUCUGCCACAGGAAAGCAGCAUCCAUCAUCAAAAAUCCCCACCAUCCACGCCACCAUCAGUCAGGAAGUACUGAGGUCAGCAGGAGUUACUACCUUACAACUCUCAGGCUUUGAAUCGGUAUAGGUAACUUUCCUCACCACUGCUCUGAACUGAUUCCACAACUGAUAUACUCACUUUCAAGGUCUCUGUAAUUCAUGUUCUCAGUAUUAAUUACUUAUUUAUUUUUUAUUUCAACAAUUUAUCUUUUGCAAAUUGGUUGUUUGUCAGUCUUUAUGAAUUGUUUUCAUAAAUUAUAUAGUAUUUAUUUAUUUUCCUGUAAAUGCCUGCAUGAAAAUUAAUCUCAAGGUAGUAUACACUCAGUGGCCACUUGAUGAGGUAGAGGAGUGUACCUAAUAAAGUGACUAUAGGAAUGAAACCUGCUAUGGUCUUCUGCUGUUGUCGACCAUCCAUUUCAAAGUUCAACAUUUGCGCAUUCAGAGAUGCUCUUCUGCACAUCACUGUUGUAACUUGUGAUUAUUUGAAUUAAUGUUCCUUUCCUGUCAGCUUGAACCAGUCUGGCCAUUCUCCUCUGGCCUCUCUCAUUAACAAGGCGUUUUCACCUGAACUGCCACAGAGCUGCUGCUCAAUGUAUGUUUUUAGUUUCUCACACCUUUCUCUGUAAGCUCCAGAGAUGGUUGUGCUUGAAAAUCCCAGGAGAUCUACAGUUUCUGAGAUACUUAAACCACUCCAUCUGGCACCAGUAGUCAUUUCACGGACGAAGUCACUUAUUUCUUCCCCGUUCUCAGGUUUGGUCUGAACAACUGAACCUCUUGACCAUGUCUGCAUGCUUUUAUGCAUUGAGCUGCUGCCAUCUGACUGGAUGAUUAAAUGUUUGUAUUAAUGAGCAGGUGUACCUGUUAAAGUGGCCCCUGCUUGUAGUGUGGCACUUUGAUAACAAAUUUACUGUGACUUUUACUUUUGGCUUUGAAAAUGCUGGACAUGUGAAACGAGCCGAGAUUGCAGACUGCAGCAUUAACUAUUUCAGCUAUGUAAGAGUCUGUGACUUGGACACUGGCACCCUGAAUGAAGCCAAAGCCACAGGUUGCCUCUUUUCAGAGAAUUUGCGUGUAUGUGGUUAUGAGCUGGAGGCCAUAUUUAGCACCCAGUCCGCAGAAACAGGAUGUAUUCGUGCACAGGAUCCUUGCAGAGUUCUGCUAGGGGAACACAGUACCCUACUGACCCUGGCCUGUGCAUUUUGCAGCUCAUGUUCUGUGGAUUACAUAGAAAACCUACAGCACAAUACAGGCCCUUCGGCCCACAAAGUUGUGCCGAACAUAUCCCUACCUUAGAAAUGACUAGGCUUACCUAUAGCCCUCUAUUUUACUAAGCUCCUUGUACCUAUCUAAAAGUCUCUUAAAAGACCCUAUCGUAUCCACCUCCACCACCGUUGCUGGCAGCCCAUUCCAUGCACGCACCACUGUCUGAGUAAAAAACUUACCCCUGACACCUUCUCUGUACCUACUCCCUAACACUGUAAACUUGUGUCCUCUUGUGGCAGCCAUUUCAGCCCUGGGAAAAAGCCUCUGACUAUCCACACAAUCAAUGCUUCUCAUUAUCUUGUACACCUCUAUCAGGUCACCUCUCAUCCUCCAUCACUCCAAGGACAAAAGGCCAAGUUCACUCAACCUAUUCUCAUAAGGCAUGCUCCCCAAUCCAGGUAACAUCUUUGUAAAUCUCCCCUGCACCCUUUCUAUGGCUUCCACAUCCUUCCUGUAGAGAGGCGACCAGAACUGAGCACAGUACUCCAAGUAAGGUCUGACCAUGGUCCUAUAGAGCUGCAACGUUACCUCUCGGCUCCCAAAUUCAAUUCCACGAUUAAUGAAGGCCGAUACACCAUAUGCCUUCUUAACCACAGAGUCAACCUGCAAAGUUGCUUUGAGCGUCCUAUGGACUCGGACCCCAAGAUCCCUCUGAUCCUCCACACUGCUAAGAGUCUUACCAUUAAUACUAUAUUCUGCCAUCAUAUUUGACCUACCAAAAUGAACCACUUCACACUAAUCUG